This is a non-coding RNA of Paramuricea clavata, 578 nucleotides long. The record is from the annotation of a GenBank genome assembly. Lineage: Eukaryota; Metazoa; Cnidaria; Anthozoa; Malacalcyonacea; Plexauridae.
UUCAGAAUCGGCAAGCAGCAUAUGUAAAACGUUCAAGAGUUGGUCCCGUGACCAUGGGUUUAGCUACCAUGCCAUCCAAGUCGACCAAUUAUGAUAAUUAUGGACAAACUGAUGAAGAGGCCAGCAGUACCUCUCAAAAACUUUAAUAUUAUUACUUCGUUAUAGAUGGUACAAAGAUUCUAAUCAUCAUAUGAUUUUACAGUGUGAUCUAUCACCAAUUUACGCACAAAAGAUUCUAGGUUUUUGCAUGCAGAAAAUUAUAUACUAAAAUGUAAGUAAGUAACUGGUUACAACCAACAAGAUAUGUUAAAGUUUGCUAGAAAUUAAAUACUAGUAAACAAGCAGUUUUAAACUGAACUAAGCUGACUGUCCGUGUUUAUCACUCCGUGCUCGUGAUCAUAUAAAUUUUGUGCAUAUAUUUCUUUAAUCAGUAAACAUACAUGUGAAGUUUAUACCAAAUAAAUGUCAAGUUAAAGGCCCAUGCACGUCUCCGAAAUGCACGACUCCACAUUUCACAGCGCGGAGUUUCAGAGUGCUAGAAAUCAUGAAUUAUUGCAGGAGACAUUUCAGACACUGGA